UUUUGUUGGGCACGCCCAAAUGGUUUCAACCAACCCUUUCACCCUAAGGGCACCCCCGGGUGGGUUCCCUUUUUGGCUCGUCCCGAAGGGGG
RNAcentral lists this unclassified non-coding RNA (92 nucleotides) under uncultured fungus. RNAcentral's name for it is "partial ITS1". Lineage: Eukaryota; Fungi. The record is from RNAcentral.